UACGUAGGGAGCAAGCGUUGUUCGGAUUUACUGGGCGUAAAGGGCGCGUAGGCGGCGCUGUAAGUCACUUGUGAAAUCUCUGGGCUUAACUCGGAACGGUCAAGUGAUACUGCAGUGCUAGAGUGCGGAAGGGGCAAUCGGAAUUCUUGGUGUAGCGGUGAAAUGCGUAGAUAUCAAGAGGAACACCUGAGGUGAAGACGGGUUGCUGGGCCGACACUGACGCUGACAGCGCGAAAGCCAGGGGAGCAAACGGG
Molecule: ribosomal RNA, 254 nt
Filed under: uncultured bacterium
Lineage: Bacteria
Description: partial 16S ribosomal RNA
Rfam family: Bacterial small subunit ribosomal RNA
Source: RNAcentral